GUGGGGAAUAUUGGACAAUGGGCGAAAGCCUGAUCCAGCAAUGCCGCGUGAGUGAUGAAGGCCUUAGGGUUGUAAAGCUCUUUUACCCGGGAUGAUAAUGACAGUACCGGGAGAAUAAGCUCCGGCUAACUCCGUGCCAGCAGCCGCGGUAAUACGGAGGGAGCUAGCGUUGUUCGGAAUUACUGGGCGUAAAGCGCACGUAGGCGGCGAUUCAAGUCAGAGGUGAAAGCCCGGGGCUCAACCCCGGAAUAGCCUUUGAAACUGGAAAACUAGAAUCUUGGAGAGGUCAGUGGAAUUCCGAGUGUAGAGGUGAAAUUCGUAGAUAUUCGGAAGAACACCAGUGGCGAAGGCGACUGACUGGACAAGUAUUGACGCUGAGGUGCGAAAGCGUGGGGAGCAAACAGGAUUAGAAACCCGUGUAGUCC
This 425-nucleotide ribosomal RNA is filed under the name uncultured bacterium. Its description in RNAcentral is "partial 16S ribosomal RNA". It matches the Rfam family "Bacterial small subunit ribosomal RNA", at positions 354 to 796 of the family's 1533-position model. The record is from RNAcentral.